CGCCCCUCCCUGGGCUCGCGACACCGCCGCCCUUUCUCCCGAUCGCUGGCGUGAAGAGGCGACUAGGGUUCCAAGGAUCUUUGAUUUUCCUUUUCUUGCUGUGAUAGAAGUCUCGAUUGAAGGUAGUUGUCGACAGAAGCUUUAGGGCAAUGAGGUGGAUUUCCAGCAGCCACCUUGUUUAUGGCUGUGAACUUGAGGACCUUGACGCGAGACGAUAUCUCGACGUCAGAUUUGGACCGGAUACGAUCCUUUCU
Long non-coding RNA from Zingiber officinale, 254 nucleotides. RefSeq lists it as uncharacterized. The record is from RefSeq and is a predicted model, not a curated record. The transcript is spliced from 3 exons. Lineage: Eukaryota; Viridiplantae; Streptophyta; Magnoliopsida; Zingiberales; Zingiberaceae.